GUGAGAGCUGAUGCUCUCUGAGCAAUCGAGUGCUUAUUAUUAUUUCUCUUGGAUAGGUCACCUGGGAAUUGAGGAAUUUUUCAUUUUAAAUUAAAAAGAAAUCUUUUAUAAUGCUCAUUUCUGAAAGAAAAAAAAAAAAGAGAAGCCACCUCAUCAUGGAAGCAAUUAGAUGGAGGACACACUGGAAGGAGUGAUUAGUUGUUAAUUUUUGAGCUGUUGACCCUGACAGAAGGUUUUUUUGACAAUUUUUUUUUAGGUGUCUUUCAUAUGCCUACAGUCCGUGGUUACUUCUCAUUCAAUAGCAAUUACCGUAUGCCCGUUUUGUGCUAAGGGCUGCUCGAGGUGGAUGCUGUGGUCCCUGUCAGAUGUGUGCCAAAUUGAAAUGCCAGCAGCUGUGUGAGCAGCGGGAUAAUCGUAUCUGCUGCUUCUCUCUUCCAAGUCCUGGCAUUCCCAUUUUAGCAGUGGUGUGUCCAUGCUCAGCUCCACAGGAGGAAAUCCAUUGACUGAAGCCGUGCUGACACCUGGGGGACGUGGCUGCAUGCUCAUCAGUCACCUGUGUGACUGCAGACCCACUGGAGAACACAACCCUGGAGGCAGCAGUUUUUAUCAACUUCUCCUGCUGACCAGAUGAAGGCUCAGUGAUAAAUAAACGUCCUCCCACCCACUACAGCUCCCCAGCCCUCACCGUCUCCCGCUGGCUGCUGGGAUGCAGAGCAAUGGGAGAGCAAUGGACUGUCAUCAAAGAAGGCCAUGAGCUGCUCUGCCAGUGGAGAAGAACUGCUUCUGCUCAUUCAGGACGCAUACAGUACUGCUGCUCUAUUCUUGUAGCCAAGACAGUGUCAGAUGAACGUUUUCUGCCGGCUACAACAUAUGAAAAAGUGAGUACGUUAUCCAAUAAGCUUGAUUUAGGAAAUGAGGUUUGUUCACUGUUACCACCAUGCAGGUGCAGUGAAAGAGGCCUCCUGUAAAGGGCAGAAUGAAAGACAAACCAUUCCAGUUGGUUACUAGAGGCGUAUCAGUAAAGAUUACCUCCUGCAUACAUCAAAUGAUUGAUAGCAAGUUUUAAAGCUUUUCUAGUUCUCUGCUAGUGCUAUCCAACUGCAAUAAAACAUAAAGAUUUCUCUGAUACCCUUCCA
Molecule: long non-coding RNA, 1136 nt
Filed under: Coturnix japonica (Japanese quail)
Lineage: Eukaryota; Metazoa; Chordata; Aves; Galliformes; Phasianidae
Description: lncRNA (ENSCJPG00005008264.1)
Source: RNAcentral